RNAcentral lists this ribosomal RNA (476 nucleotides) under Sinosticta ogatai. RNAcentral's name for it is "partial 16S ribosomal RNA". It matches the Rfam family "Bacterial large subunit ribosomal RNA", at positions 1922 to 2610 of the family's 2925-position model. Lineage: Eukaryota; Metazoa; Arthropoda; Insecta; Odonata; Platystictidae. The record is from RNAcentral.
AUUUAACGGCCGCGGUAUAUUGACCGUGCAAAGGUAGCAUAAUCAUUAGUCUUUUAAUAGAAGACUGGUAUGAAGGGUUUGACGAGGUGUUAGCUGUCUCAAAAUUAAUUUCUUUAAUUUAACUUUUUAGUUAAAAGGCUUAAAAAUAUUGUUGGUAGACGAGAAGACCCUAUAGAGCUUUAUAUUUAUUUUUUAUUUAUUAUUUUGUUUAUUUUAUUAUUUAUUCUUUAAUUAUUCUGUUGGGGUGACAUUAAAAAUUGCUUAACUUUUAAUUAUUUUUUCAUUUAUUUAUGUUUAUUCGAUCCAUUAUUAUUGAUUGUUAGAUUAAGUUACCUUAGGGAUAACAGCGUAAUCCUUUUUGGGAGUUCACAUCUGCAAAUGGGCUUGCGACCUCGAUGUUGGAUUAAGAUUAUACUUGGGUGUAGCUGCUUAAGGUAUAGGUCUGUUCGACCUUUAAAUUCUUACAUGAUCUGAGU